GUGAAGAACGUAGCGAAAUGCGAUAAGUAAUGUGAAUUGCAGAAUUCAGUGAAUCAUCGAAUCUUUGAACGCACCUUGCGCUCUUUGGUAUUCCGAAGAGCAUGCCUGUUUGAGUGUCAUGAAAAUAUCAACCUUGACUUGGGUUUUGUGCUCUAGUCUCGGCUUGGAAUUGGGUGCUUGCCGCUUUAACGAGCGGCUCACCUUAAAUGUAUUAGCUGGAUCUGUCUUUGAGACUUGGUUUGACUUGGCGUAAUAAGUAUUUCGCUAAGGACAUUCUUCGGAGUGGCCUCGUUUCUAGGACGCUUGUCCGCUUUCCAAUACAAGUUCCACCUCGUGGACAUGACUUUUUAUUAUCUGGCCUCAAAUCAGGUAGGACUACCCGCUGAACUUAAGCAUAUCAAUAAGCGGAGGA
RNAcentral lists this unclassified non-coding RNA (412 nucleotides) under soil metagenome. RNAcentral describes it as "partial contains 5.8S ribosomal RNA, internal transcribed spacer 2, and large subunit ribosomal RNA". The stretch from base 2 to 119 matches the Rfam family "5.8S ribosomal RNA", at positions 37 to 154 of the family's 154-position model. The record is from RNAcentral.